UACAGAGGUCUCAAGCGUUGUUCGGAUUCAUUGGGCGUAAAGGGUGUGUAGGUGGCGCCGUUAGUCGGGUGUGAAAUUUCGGAGCUUAACUCCGAAACUGCAUUCGAUACUGCGGUGCUUGAGGACUGGAGAGGAGACUGGAAUUCAUGGUGUAGCAGUGAAAUGCGUAGAUAUCGGGAGGAAUACCUAUGGCGAAAGCAGGCUACUGGACCGUCACUGACUCUGAUCUGCGAAAGCUAGGGGAGCAAGCAGG
Molecule: ribosomal RNA, 253 nt
Filed under: uncultured bacterium
Lineage: Bacteria
Description: partial 16S ribosomal RNA
Rfam family: Bacterial small subunit ribosomal RNA
Source: RNAcentral